Long non-coding RNA from Perognathus longimembris pacificus (Pacific pocket mouse), 245 nucleotides. RefSeq lists it as uncharacterized. The transcript is spliced from 4 exons. Lineage: Eukaryota; Metazoa; Chordata; Mammalia; Rodentia; Heteromyidae. The record is from RefSeq and is a predicted model, not a curated record.
AUCACUCCUGGGGCAAAAGUGAUGGAGCAUCCAGAGGCACUAAGCCACUGCUUGGAUGGCAGAGCUGGUGUAAGAUCCUAGAGUCACUUGCGUUUGGCCCUUCAAAAGUUAAUCAGAGCCAGGAGGUCAUUGGAGAAUAGUUUGUAAACAUGCCUUUCUAAUACCCAUGUCUGUCUACUGGGCAGGAACUUGCCAGUCAUCUGUAACAGUGGAGAGUCAAGUUACAUUUCUUAAAUGAAUGAAUA